RNAcentral lists this ribosomal RNA (442 nucleotides) under uncultured bacterium. RNAcentral's name for it is "partial 16S ribosomal RNA". It matches the Rfam family "Bacterial small subunit ribosomal RNA", at positions 338 to 795 of the family's 1533-position model. The record is from RNAcentral.
CCUACGGGAGGCAGCAGUAGGGAAUCUUUCACAAUGGGCGAAAGCCUGAUGGAGCAACGCCGCGUGCAGGAUGAAGGCCUUCGGGUUGUAAACUGCUUUUAUAAGCGAGAAAUAUGAUGGUAACUUAUGAAUAAGGAUCGGCUAACUACGUGCCAGCAGCCGCGGUCAUACGUAGGAUCCGAGCAUUAUCCGGAGUGACUGGGUGUAAAGAGGUGCGUAGGUGGCAUAAUAAGUAGCUAGGGAAAUCUGGUGGCUCAAACAUUCAGACUAUUAGCUAAACUGUUAAGCUCGAGACCGUUAGGGGUAACUGGAAUUUCUAGUGUAGGAGUGAAAUGCGUAGAUAUUAGGAAGAACACCAGUGGCGAAGGCGGCUUUCUGGACUGAAACUGACGCUGAGGCACGAAAGCGUGGGGAGCGAACAGGAUUAGAUACCCGAGUAGUC